GACUCUCGGCAACGGAUAUCUCGGCUCACGCAUCGAUGAAGAACGUAGCAAAAUGCGAUACUUGGUGUGAAUUGCAGAAUCCCGUGAACCAUCGAGUUUUUGAACGCAAGUUGCGCCCGAAGCCAUCUGGUUGAGGGCACGUCUGCCUGGGCGUCACAC
Molecule: ribosomal RNA, 159 nt
Filed under: Craspedia sp. Craven 10101
Lineage: Eukaryota; Viridiplantae; Streptophyta; Magnoliopsida; Asterales; Asteraceae
Description: 5.8S ribosomal RNA
Rfam family: 5.8S ribosomal RNA
About the family: 5.8S ribosomal RNA (5.8S rRNA) is a component of the large subunit of the eukaryotic ribosome.
Source: RNAcentral